RNAcentral lists this ribosomal RNA (253 nucleotides) under uncultured bacterium. Its description in RNAcentral is "partial 16S ribosomal RNA". It matches the Rfam family "Bacterial small subunit ribosomal RNA", at positions 524 to 776 of the family's 1533-position model. The record is from RNAcentral.
UACGUAGGUUGCGAGCGUUAUUCGGAUUUACUGGGCGUAAAGAGCACCUAGGCGGCUUCUUAAGUUGGAUGUAAAAUCUCCUGGCUUAACUGGGAGGCGCCAUUCAAAACUGCGGAGCUUGAGGACAGCAGGGGAAGGUGGAAUUCCCGGUGUAGUGGUGGAAUGCGUAGAGAUCGUGAGGAACACCAGUAGCGAAGGCGGGUCUCUGGGCCGAUACUGACACUGAGGAGCGAAAGCGUGGGGAGCGAACAGG